Molecule: transfer RNA, 82 nt
Filed under: Microbacterium flavescens
Lineage: Bacteria; Bacillati; Actinomycetota; Actinomycetes; Micrococcales; Microbacteriaceae
Also listed under: 1 other name
Description: tRNA-Arg
Source: RNAcentral
GGUCGGUGGCGGGGACGGAGGCGCUGGUCGCCUCGGACGGCCGCGGCACGAACCGCAGGCGCUCGAGUCGCUGUCCGACCAC